CAGGCUCUGCGCGGCUCGAGGCGGCCCUACAGGGGGCGAGGAGGAACCCCGGAGACUCGGCGGAGAGAGCAGAGACGGAGCUCACCAAGGGGCUUGCCGCCGCAGAGCGCGGGAGCCGGCACUCGGGGUACUUAACCGAAACUAGCAAUCCCAGGCGGUACAAGGCCCUCCAUCGUAGGCAAAGCACUACCUGAAUGUAGAUUUGGGCCAUACGUUGGAAAAUAAGACAUGAGAGUAUGCUCCGAUCAACUUUUACUGUUCACUGGACAACUAUUUUGGGAAUUUGCAGACCUAUAAAGCCCAUCUAUAAAUCUCAAGCAUGUCCACUUUCAGAGAAGAGAAAUGCUGACAACCAUUUAGUCUCUGAGGACAACACUUUUAAAGGUACUGUUUUAUUUAGUGUGUAAACAACUUCUUUAUAUGAGGUAUUUAGUGGUUAGAAAGGAAAACUUGUUAAAGGUAGAAAAAUAACUUUUGGCAAUUUUUAAUAGUAUGUAAUUUAGUGGUAUAGAUAAGAUUUUGAUUGACUGAAAGUGAAGCUAUAGGCUGGGUACAGUGGCUCACACCUGUAAUCCCAGCACUUUGGGAGGCCAAGGCGGGUGGAUCACCUGAGGUCAGGAGUUCAAGACCAGCCUGGCCAACAU
This 644-nucleotide long non-coding RNA is filed under the name Homo sapiens (human). Its description in RNAcentral is "POPDC1 antisense RNA 1". Lineage: Eukaryota; Metazoa; Chordata; Mammalia; Primates; Hominidae. The record is from RNAcentral.